AGUGAACGCUGGCGGUAGGCCUAACACAUGCAAGUCGAACGGCAGCACAGUAAGAGCUUGCUCUUACGGGUGGCGAGUGGCGGACGGGUGAGGAAUACAUCGGAAUCUACUUUUUCGUGGGGGAUCACGUAGGGAAACUUACGCUAAUACCGCAUACGACCUACGGGUGAAAGCAGGGGAUCUUCGGCCCUUGCGCGAUUGUAUGAGCCGAUGUCGGAUUAGCUAGUUGGAGGGGUAAAGGCCCACCAAGGCGACGAUCCGUAGCUGGUCUGAGAGUAUGAUCAGUCACACUGGAACUGAGACACGGUCCAGACUCCUACGGGAGGCAGCAGUGGGGAAUAUUGGACAAUGGACGCAAGCCUGAUCCAGCCAUACCGCGUGGGUGAAGAAGGCCUUCGGGUUGUAAAGCCCUUUUGUUGGGAAAGAAAAGCAGCAGGUUAAUACCCCGCUGUUCUGACGGUACCCGAAGAAUAAGCACCGGCUAACUUCGUG
RNAcentral lists this ribosomal RNA (492 nucleotides) under uncultured bacterium. Its description in RNAcentral is "partial 16S ribosomal RNA". It matches the Rfam family "Bacterial small subunit ribosomal RNA", at positions 29 to 507 of the family's 1533-position model. The record is from RNAcentral.